RNAcentral lists this long non-coding RNA (1955 nucleotides) under Mus musculus (house mouse). RNAcentral describes it as "long non-coding RNA chr6:46041950-46043905". The record is from RNAcentral. Lineage: Eukaryota; Metazoa; Chordata; Mammalia; Rodentia; Muridae.
AAUGAGCAUUAGGAAAGAGUUCCAUGUACUUUCAUUUUGUUCUAUUCAAAAUGUGCUUAAUUAUCAAAAAAGAUGUGAUACCAAAUGUCAACCCAGCUUUCUACAUUUCUGAUAGAUGCUUUCAUUAUCAGUGAUUCAAUCAGCAGCACAUAGUGGGACACUAUGUUAAUAUUUUAAAGUGCUUUAAAAUUUCCCAUGAGGUCAAUGAUGACAAUAACAAUGCGUAUGCCUCCUGUAGUCUAAAGAAGUAAUAAAAACCACCUCCAAUAAAUGGCAAUUUAAUUAUAUGGAAUUGCAUUUGAAAACCCUUUCAUUUCUUUGCACAAAUACUGACAAGUCUCUCUCUCCCCAGUGAUUUCUCAUCUUUUUCCUUAAAAUGGAAAAGUGAUUAAACGUGUCAAAGCAAAUACCUCUGCAUUUUAGGAUUUCAAGUAAAUUAAAAAUUCAGUGAUUGUCUGAAAACAGUCAGAUAGAAGCAUCUAAUAAGAAAUCAUCAGUGCCUAAUGGAGCAAGUUUGCACCAAACUUAGAAAUACCUUUAAUGAUUCAUAAAUCUAUUUUGAAUGAUAGCUGAAAAUUAAGUUCAUCCCAUCCCUAAUAAUACAGUUUAACAGCUCUUAGUGGUUCAAUACUGUAGCAUGAAUUCCAUACAAAACAUGGUUAAGUCCCAGGUAUACUUAUGAAGUGAAAUAACUGUUUUAUUGCUAAGUUAAAUCCCAUCUCCUUCCACUGACCCAAGAGCAACACAAUUAGCAUAUUUGUUACUCAGAAAUAAGAUGGGGUACAAAGUUGCAGUUUAAUGCAGGCAUUAGCACAUCUUAAAUGGAAAUCUGGGUGUUAGAAUCCAGUGAUUUUUCUUUUAGAUAUUCAGAAGUGUUGGCCAUGCCUAAAAUUCACAGCUGAAACUGAGUGAUGGAGUUUUCAUCUCUAUCAUUCUGCCUUCCUGUGUGUGCCAGACUGAAUUAUGUCCUUGCUGAGCAGCUACUGGAGGCCUGCAGCACACAAUGCACUUGGAAGAUAUAGCGAGGCAUAAAACAGGCUCCCUAAGCACGAAGAGUUUAUUCUCCAAAGGAGGAAAUGGGCCUCAACAAAAAAUUACAAUGCAUUGUAAUAAAUUCCAUAAAAUUGAUACAUAAAAGUUGUUUUAUGUAUAAAGAAAAGAAUAACUUGCUCCCCAGAAAAUUCAGUGGAGGCCGGAGAAAGGAAGUAACAUUUGAUCAGAUGUAUAAAGGAAAGGUCAGAUCUUGGGAUCUGGGCCAGGGAAUACCACAAAGGAAACUUUAUUUACAUGGCACAAAAUUGCCUAACUAGAGCACAGAGCUUAUAUAGAAACGUAGGCACAGUACUCACAUUAACUCAAAUUGAGAUUUUACUUUAUUUAUUGGGUCACUCUUAGAAGUGUGCAAUGGAUAUAAUCACAAGACAAAACAUGAAUUUCUGAAAUGUGAAUUCAUUGAACUGGUGUGAAGGCUCAGUCAGGAAAGUUGUUGGCAUGCGAAGACCAGAACUGUGUUCAUAUCCCUGGCACCCAAGACAAAGUCAGCCAUGAUCAUGCAUAUUUGUUAUUUCUGAACUGGGUAGAGGGAAAGAAGACAUCUGGCUUCCUUGGGCUUGUCCUGACUGCCAGCCUAACGAAUCCUGUGAGCUCAGUGAGAAGUCUUAUCUCAAUAAAUAAGGAGGAGGGCAGAGGAGUUUCUUAGUGUUUACAAGGCUUGUCAUUCAAGCAUCCGGACUAGCAUCCAGACCUCCAGGUGCCAUGGAAAUACUGAAUAGAUAUGACUAGCGAGACUAGCCAUGUGAACAAUCUCAGGGUUUGAUUCAGAGACUGUCACUCAGUGAGUAAGAUGGAAAACUACUGUUAUUCUUGAUAAUAACCUCAGGUGUCCAUACACAUGCACACAUAUAUGCACAUGUGCACACAUCUGUUGAGGACAGAUAUACAAACAUUACAUACAC